GAUGAACGCUGGCGGCGUGCUUAACACAUGCCAGUCGAACGGAAAGGCCCAAGCUUGCUUGGGUACUCGAGUGGCGAACGGGUGAGUAACACGUGGGUGAUCUGCCCUGCACUUCGGGAUAAGCCUGGGAAACUGGGUCUAAUACCGGAUAGGACGAUGGUUUGGAUGCCAUUGUGGAAAGUUUUUUCGGUGUGGGAUGAGCUCGCGGCCUAUCAGCUUGUUGGUGGGGUAAUGGCCUACCAAGGCGUCGACGGGUAGCCGGCCUGAGAGGGUGUACGGCCACAUUGGGACUGAGAUACGGCCCAGACUCCUACGGGGGGCAGCAGUGGGGAAUAUUGCACAAUGGGCGCAAGCCUGAUGCAGCGACGCCGCGUGGGGGAUGACGGCCUUCGGGUUGUAAACUCCUUUCGCUAGGGACGAAGCGUUUUUGUGACGGUACCUGGAGAAGAAGCACCGGCUAACUACGUG
RNAcentral lists this ribosomal RNA (468 nucleotides) under uncultured bacterium. RNAcentral describes it as "partial 16S ribosomal RNA". It matches the Rfam family "Bacterial small subunit ribosomal RNA", at positions 28 to 507 of the family's 1533-position model. The record is from RNAcentral.